CGAAUGCUGACAUAAGUAACGAUAAAGCGGGUGAAAAGCCCGCUCGCCGGAAGACCAAGGGUUCCUGUCCAACGUUAAUCGGGGCAGGGUGAGUCGACCCCUAAGGCGAGGCCGAAAGGCGUAGUCGAUGGGAAACAGGUUAAUAUUCCUGUACUUGGUGUUACUGCGAAGGGGGGACGGAGAAGGCUAUGUUGGCCGGGCGACGGUUGUCCCGGUUUAAGCGUGUAGGCUGGUUUUCCAGGCAAAUCCGGAAAAUCAAGGCUGAGGCGUGAUGACGAGGCACUACGGUGCUGAAGCAACAAAUGCCCUGCUUCCAGGAAAAGCCUCUAAGCAUCAGGUAACAUCAAAUCGUACCCCAAACCGACACAGGUGGUCAGGUAGAGAAUACCAAGGCGCUUGAGAGAACUCGGGUGAAGGAACUAGGCAAAAUGGUGCCGUAACUUCGGGAGAAGGCACGCUGAUAUGUAGGUGAAGUCCCUCGCGGAUGGAGCUGAAAUCAGUCGAAGAUACCAGCUGGCUGCAACUGUUUAUUAAAAACACAGCACUGUGCAAACACGAAAGUGGACG
RNAcentral lists this ribosomal RNA (567 nucleotides) under Escherichia coli. RNAcentral's name for it is "partial 23S ribosomal RNA". It matches the Rfam family "Bacterial large subunit ribosomal RNA", at positions 1291 to 1843 of the family's 2925-position model. The record is from RNAcentral. Lineage: Bacteria; Pseudomonadati; Pseudomonadota; Gammaproteobacteria; Enterobacterales; Enterobacteriaceae.